GUCCACGCUGUAAACGAUGAUCACUAGAUGUUGGGAGUAUUGACCCUUCCAGCGUCGAAGCUAACGCAUUAAGUGAUCCGCCUGGGGAGUACGGUCGCAAGACUAAAACUCAAAGGAAUUGACGGGGGCCCGCACAAGCGGUGGAGUAUGUGGUUUAAUUCGACGCAACGCGAAGAACCUUACCUGGAUUAGACAUCAAUUCGAAGAAGUGCAGAGAUGUAUUUCGUCCCCGCAAGGGGACGGAUUGACAGGUGCUGCAUGGCUGUCGU
This 269-nucleotide ribosomal RNA is filed under the name uncultured bacterium. RNAcentral describes it as "partial 16S ribosomal RNA". It matches the Rfam family "Bacterial small subunit ribosomal RNA", at positions 793 to 1055 of the family's 1533-position model. The record is from RNAcentral.